UUCUGGCUCAGGAUGAACGCUGGCGGCGUGCUUAACACAUGCAAGUCGAACGAAGCUCUAAGAACGGAGGAUUCGUCCAAAGGGAUAGAUGACUUAGUGGCGGACGGGUGAGUAACGCGUGGGUAACCUGCCGUAUGCAGGGGGACAACAGUUGGAAACGACUGCUAAUACCGCAUAAGCGCACAGUAUUGCAUGAUACAGUGUGAAAAAGAUUUAUCGGCAUACGAUGGACCCGCGUCUGAUUAGCUAGUUGGUGAGGUAACGGCCCACCAAGGCAACGAUCAGUAGCCGGCCUGAGAGGGUGAACGGCCACAUUGGGACUGAGACACGGCCCAAACUCCUACGGGAGGCAGCAGUGGGGAAUAUUGCACAAUGGGGGAAACCCUGAUGCAGCGACGCCGCGUGAGUGAAGAAGUAUCUCGGUAUGUAAAGCUCUAUCAGCAGGGAAGAAAAUGACGGUACCUGACUAAGAAGCCCCGGCUAACUACGUGCCAGCCGCCGC
RNAcentral lists this ribosomal RNA (502 nucleotides) under uncultured bacterium. RNAcentral's name for it is "bacterial SSU rRNA". It matches the Rfam family "Bacterial small subunit ribosomal RNA", at positions 17 to 518 of the family's 1533-position model. The record is from RNAcentral.